This 1251-nucleotide long non-coding RNA is filed under the name Bos indicus x Bos taurus (hybrid cattle). RNAcentral describes it as "lncRNA (ENSBIXG00000016612.1)". The record is from RNAcentral. Lineage: Eukaryota; Metazoa; Chordata; Mammalia; Artiodactyla; Bovidae.
GGCCACAUUCCUGGCCCACAAGAACACCACGGCUGCUUUUGUGGGCCCUGUCAAUCCUGGUUACUGCCCAGCUGCAGCUCUGCUGGCCCAAGGCUGCGGCAAGACCCUCUUCUCCUGGGCGUGUGGGGAUGCAGGGGGAGGAGGUGGGCUGGUGCCCACCUUGCCUUUGGCUGCCCACAUGCUGCUCUCUGUCAUGAAACACUUUGCCUGGGCUCGUGUGGCCAUUGUGUCCUCCCACCAGGACAUCUAGCUGGCUACUGCCCGGCAGGUGGCCAUGACUCUCAGGACACACGGGCUGCCCGUGGGGCUGGUGAUCUCUCUGGGACUCAGGGAGCAGGGGGCCACGGAGGUCCUGAAGCAGCUUUGCAGUGUGGAUGGCCUAAAAAGCCAAGGGGAAUGUAUUCAUGUUUUCUCAGACCUUGAGGAUGCCCUCAUCCACCGUUGAGAUUACAAGCCAAUGAUAAAUGGAUAAACAAAAUGUUUAUACAAUGGAAUAUUGUGCAACAGUAAAAAUGAAUGAAGUACUGAUACAGGCUAUCAUAUGGGUGAGCCUGGAAAACAUUAUGCUAACUGAAAGAGGCCAGACAUAAAAGGCUGCAUAUUGUACAAUUCUAUUUACAUGAAAUGUCCAGAAGAGGCAUAUUCAUAGAGAGAGAAAGUAGAUUAGUGGUUGCCUGGGGUUAGGAGGAAAGAGAAAUAGGGAGUAACCGGUAUUGGGUAUAGGAUUUCUUUCUGAGUGAUGAAAAUGUUCUAAAAUUAAAUAGUGGCAGUGGUUUCAUAACCUUAUGCAUAAAACUCCUGAGUUAUACCCUUUUUAAAAGGUGAAUUUUAUGAUAUAUGAAUUAUCUAAAAUUUUAGAAAAUGUUAAAAUAUAGAAAGAUUAUAAGUUGGAAGCCAGCCUUCCUGAGUUCCAGGACUGGCUCUAUCACCCUGGUAGCUGUGUAUCCUGGGGAAAGUCCUUAACCUCUCUGUGCCUUGGUUUACUCAUCUGAGAGUAGAGAUAAUGAUGAACAUACUUCUUUUUUUAAUAUUUAGUUUUAUUUGUUUAUUUGGCCGUGCUGGGUCUUAGCUGUGGCCUAUGAGGACCUGGGCUGUCGCACUGGGACCACGGCAUCUUCCGCACUCGACCACCAGGGAAGUCCUAAACAUACUUCUUCGUUUUGUUGUUAAUUGAACGAGUAAAUGUUUGUUAAAGUACUUUAGGACAACACAUUACAAGAUGUCAAUAAAUAUUAGCAAUUUUCAGAGCCA